Non-coding RNA from Cordylochernes scorpioides, 71 nucleotides. The record is from the annotation of a GenBank genome assembly. Lineage: Eukaryota; Metazoa; Arthropoda; Arachnida; Pseudoscorpiones; Chernetidae.
ACGUCGGUAGUUUAAUGGUAAAAUACGUGCCUGCUACGUUGGCGACCCUGGUUGGAUUCCCAGCCGAUGCU